RNAcentral lists this unclassified non-coding RNA (345 nucleotides) under soil metagenome. RNAcentral describes it as "partial contains 5.8S ribosomal RNA, internal transcribed spacer 2, and large subunit ribosomal RNA". The stretch from base 1 to 120 matches the Rfam family "5.8S ribosomal RNA", at positions 35 to 154 of the family's 154-position model. The record is from RNAcentral.
GAUGAAGAACGUAGCGAAAUGCGAUAAGUAAUGUGAAUUGCAGAAUUCCGUGAAUCAUCGAAUCUUUGAACGCACAUUGCGCCCUCUGGUAUUCCGGAGGGCAUGCCUGUCCGAGCGUCAUUGCUGCCCUCAAGCACGGCUUGUGUGUUGGGCCCCGCCCCCCGAUCCCGGGGGGCGGGCCCGAAAGGCAGCGGCGGCACCGCGUCCGGUCCUCGAGCGUAUGGGGCUUUGUCACCCGCUCUGUAGGCCCGGCCGGCGCCUGCCGAUCAACCAAACUUUUUUCCAGGUUGACCUCGGAUCAGGUAGGGAUACCCGCUGAACUUAAGCAUAUCAAUAAGCGGAGGA